CUCAACCUUUAUUGAAUCACUCACGAACAAUACAAGGAAAGCCCUUGGUGCACACAAAGAAUCCUCACAACAGAUGCUAACAAUUGCAAUCUGAGUCCCUCUAUCUGAAUGGGUCGGAUUUGUGCACUCUAGGGCCAAUAAAUACAAGUUACAAUGCAGUUUACACACUAAACUGCCAAGGGACACAUGGCGGCACGCAGGCCAGCCACUUGGCUC
RNAcentral lists this long non-coding RNA (216 nucleotides) under Erythranthe guttata (spotted monkey flower). RNAcentral's name for it is "long non-coding RNA (EGUT_LNC001748)". Lineage: Eukaryota; Viridiplantae; Streptophyta; Magnoliopsida; Lamiales; Phrymaceae. The record is from RNAcentral.